GGACCCGCACAAGCGGUGGAGUAUGUGGUUUAAUUCGAUGCAACACGAAGAACCUUACCAGGGUUUGAAAUCAUUUCAAAACUCCUUGAAAGAGGAGCCUCCUUCGGGAUGAAAUGACAGGUGGUGCAUGGCUGUCGUCAGCUCGUGUUGUGAAAUGUCGAGUUAAGUCUCGUAACGAGCGCAACCCAUGUCUCUUGUUGCUCACUGAGUGCUUAAGAGAGACUGCCGACCAACAUCGGAGGAAGGUGUGGAUGAUGUCAAGUCAGCAUGCCCCUUACAUCCUGGGCUACACACGUGCUACAAUGGUAGUGACAAUGGGU
Molecule: ribosomal RNA, 320 nt
Filed under: uncultured bacterium
Lineage: Bacteria
Description: bacterial SSU rRNA
Rfam family: Bacterial small subunit ribosomal RNA
Source: RNAcentral